GGGGCUGUAACGGUUUCGACGUUUUGACGAAAGUCACGCUGUGAUACAGGCCGAGAGGGAGUCUGCUCUCGCAAAUCAAGGCUCAAAACAAACGUAACUGCGAACACUAUCGUUCCUUUUGCUCGUAAAGCUGCACCUGUUGCCGCUUAAUCUAAACCUAGUUUAGCGAGCGUUCAUAGUUUGACUCCGUUAAGAGCUAUGGACAAACCCCAACGGAUGCGUCGAUGAAUCUCCUCUGGUGGAUCCAUUGACAAAGACUUAGCCAGAGAAUCCCGCCGUCCGGGAUAAGUGGCGGUUCCGGCCCCGAGGGUUAGACGGGCUAAGCCUGUGAAUGAGUGGUGUGUUAAUACUCAGAGCGGACACGGGUUCGACUCCCGUCAGCUCCAUUA
This 389-nucleotide transfer-messenger RNA is filed under the name filamentous cyanobacterium CCP4. It matches the Rfam family "transfer-messenger RNA". Rfam says of the family: Bacterial tmRNA, also known as 10Sa RNA or SsrA, is named for its dual tRNA and mRNA-like properties. RNAcentral also lists the same sequence under 2 other names. Lineage: Bacteria; Bacillati; Cyanobacteriota. The record is from RNAcentral.